Molecule: ribosomal RNA, 607 nt
Filed under: uncultured Nectriaceae
Lineage: Eukaryota; Fungi; Ascomycota; Sordariomycetes; Hypocreales; Nectriaceae
Description: eukaryotic LSU rRNA
Rfam family: 5.8S ribosomal RNA (bases 229-382)
Source: RNAcentral
CUUGGUCAUUUAGAGGAAGUAAAAGUCGUAACAAGGUUUCCGUAGGUGAACCUGCGGAAGGAUCAUUACAGAGUUCCUGCCCUCACGGGUAGAAACCCCACCCUUGUGUAUUAUAUAUUGUUGCUUUGGCGGGCCGCCCUCACGGGCACCGGCUCACGCUGGCUCGCGCCCGCCGAAGGACCCCAAACUCUGAAGUAUAGUGUCGUCUGAGUACUAUUUAAUAGUUAAAACUUUCAACAACGGAUCUCUUGGUUCUGGCAUCGAUGAAGAACGCAGCGAAAUGCGAUAAGUAAUGUGAAUUGCAGAAUUCAGUGAAUCAUCGAAUCUUUGAACGCACAUUGCGCCCGCCAGUAUUCUGGCGGGCAUGCCUGUUCGAGCGUCAUUUCAACCCUCAAGCCCCCGGGCUUGGUGUUGGAGAUCGGCGUGCCCCCCGGGGCGCGCCGGCUCCCAAAUAUAGUGGCGGUCUCGCUGUAGCUUCCUCUGCGUAGUAGCACACCUCGCACUGGAAAACAGCGUGGCCACGCCGUUAAACCCCCCACUUCUGAAAGGUUGACCUCGGAUCAGGUAGGAAUACCCGCUUUACUUAAGCAUAUCAAUAAGCGGAGGA